CAGGGAGACAAACUGAUUGUGAUGUCUGAGCGCUAUGAGGAUGUAAAUCUAAGUAGCAUAUUUGUCUCAGGCCACGAUCCUGUCAUCUCGAAGGUCGAUCGGUACCUCAGCUGACGAAUCAGAAAGCUGAGAUUGCAUUCAGAGAUGAAUGCAAUCAAAGAAUUGUCUGAGGAGUCUUUUCAGUUCCUAACUUUGUCUAGGUCACACCCCACAGAGAGUGAGUCCCGCGAGGGAGGAGCUUAAUGGAGAGGUAAAACUCCUGGGCCAUUAGCUCAGGUGGUUAGAGCGCACCCCUGAUAAGGGUGAGGUCCCUGGUUCAAGUCCAGGAUGGCCCAUUCGUGUUUGGGGGUUUAGCUCAGUUGGUAGAGCGCCUGCUUUGCAAGCAGGAUGUCAGCGGUUCGAGUCCGCUAACCUCCGCUGACCAAACCCUUCACAGCGAAAGCAGGAGGAGAAAACCGAGCCAUGGCUAUUGUGUGACGAGACUCGUCCGCUGAUAAAGAAUUCAGCUUCUUUUCAUGUUUGAUAUUAAUUCAAUCAAAUUGAAAAGACGCUGAGCUCAACCAGUAUCAAUUAAAACCUUAACAAUUUUAACUGAUACUCUGAUGUUCAGCAGAACCUUGACAACUGCAUAAGUAAAGUCUGGAAAUGAAAGCAUCUCAUGGAUGCUCAAUUUUCACCGAUGAGUUUCGAGAGAAACUUAGAAGCUGUGAAUUGAGAAGUUCUUGAGCAAGAGCCGAGACCCAGCAUUGUUCCUCAAUCAUCGCCGAGAUGAGAGGGGUUUGAUUUCGGAAUUCAAACCAUUGAUGACAAGAGGAAGGCAAUGCAAGUUGUCUUAAUUUUGUUAUGAGAAGGUGAAUCCAGGAGAAUCUGCAAUUCAAGGCAGCAAUGCAAUGUUGGGAUACAUU
This 905-nucleotide transfer RNA is filed under the name uncultured cyanobacterium. RNAcentral's name for it is "partial contains 16S ribosomal RNA, 16S-23S ribosomal RNA intergenic spacer, and 23S ribosomal RNA". The stretch from base 345 to 417 matches the Rfam family "tRNA". The record is from RNAcentral. Lineage: Bacteria; Bacillati; Cyanobacteriota.